GACGAACCGUACAAACGUUAUUCGGAAUCACUGGGCUUAAAGGGUGCGUAGGCGGCCCGGAAAGUUGGGUGUGAAAGCCCUCGGCUCAACCGAGGAACUGCGCCCAAAACUACCGGGCUCGAGGGAGACAGAGGUGAAUGGAACUUAGGGUGGAGCGGUGAAAUGCGUUGAUAUCCUAAGGAACACCAGGAGCGAAAGCGGUUCACUGGGUCUCUUCUGACGCUGAUGCACGAAAGCCAGGGGAG
Molecule: ribosomal RNA, 245 nt
Filed under: uncultured bacterium
Lineage: Bacteria
Description: partial 16S ribosomal RNA
Rfam family: Bacterial small subunit ribosomal RNA
Source: RNAcentral